GUCUUUUUGUUUAAAUAUAAAGUCUAGCCUGCCCAUUGAUAAUUUGAAUGGCCGCGGUAUUUUGNCCGUGCUAAGGUAGCAUAAUCAUUAGUUUUUUAAUUGAAAGCUGGAAUGAAGGGUUGGAUGAAAAAAUAACUGUCUCUGUUAAAAUAUAAUAGAAUUUUAUUUUUAAGUUAAAAAGCUUAAAUAUCAUUAAAAGACGAGAAGACCCUAUAGAGUUUUAUAAUUAAUAAUAUUAUUUUUUUAGAAUUUAUUUUUUAAUAGAAAUUAAUUAUUUGAUUGGGGUGAUUAAAAAAUUUAAUAAACUUUUUUUUUAUUUUGACAUUAAUUUAUGAAUUAUUGAUCCAAUAGUUUUGAUUAUAAGAUAAAAUUACCUUAGGGAUAACAGCGUAAUUUUAUUAGAGAGUUCUUAUCGAUAAUAAAGAUUGCGACCUCGAUGUUGGAUUAAAAUUUAUAAUUGGUGUAGAAGCUAUAUUAUUAAGUCUGUUCGACUUUUAAAAUUU
Molecule: ribosomal RNA, 503 nt
Filed under: Monolepta nigripes
Lineage: Eukaryota; Metazoa; Arthropoda; Insecta; Coleoptera; Chrysomelidae
Description: partial 16S ribosomal RNA
Rfam family: Bacterial large subunit ribosomal RNA
Source: RNAcentral